Molecule: long non-coding RNA, 1326 nt
Organism: Alligator mississippiensis (American alligator)
Lineage: Eukaryota; Metazoa; Chordata; Crocodylia; Alligatoridae
Exons: 3
Source: RefSeq, a predicted model, not a curated record
GGCAGAGUCUCAGAAACACUGAGUAGGAUCACUGUUGAAUUGUAGUUUAAGUAUGUGAUGUGACCCACAUCCAUGAGCACUUUUCAGUCCUUAGCAAGUAUACAUUCACAGCAUACUUCUAAGGUGGGGAAGUUGUACCUUAUCCUUGUCUUACAGAGGAGGACCCAUAGUUCAGGAGGACUGAAUCAAGAUUAGAGGGACCUCAAGGCUGCCCUGAACAAAUGAAGAAAUGCUGUUUUGAAACUACCCCCGACCAAUGCCUAUUCAGCCUCUUUUAAAACUGUCAUUGAAGGAGAUUCCACAGCUUCCCUGCCUUCCUGGUCUAACAUGCUUUGACAAGGUUAAACAGGAAAUUAUGAGAAAACUGAACCUUGAGCUCAUUAAUUUAGGUAUUCCUUCCAUCAUUUGAAGUAUUGUGCAUUGGUUGGUGAAGCAACGUGGGAAAGUGCAUGCUGUUACAGCCUAGGUUAUACUUGGGUAUUGACAGAGCAUUUUAGGUUGCCAUCUUUUGUGAACACAGACACAUUUUAGACAUUCAGUGAAAUCCAUAUGCAGUGGUUCAUAGGUAUCAGCAUUUCAAAUUCAUAACCACUCAUAGCAUUCAUUACUACUCUUGUGGCACAGCCUCUGUAUGAGAUGAAGAGAAAUUGGCUAAAGAUGUGUGACAGCUGUUUGUGAACUCAUUCAAACUGACAAAGCUCUUGAAGUAGCCACCUGUGUCUAUAAUAGCAAAGAUCUUCACUAAGAAAGCAAUUGCUUUUAAUGGGAAGAAAUUUCAGAAACCUUCCAUUCAUGCUCUGGUCUGUUGCAUUGGAUGAGACCUGAAACACAUAAUCCAAGAUGGAUAAGGUGGAAACCAUGCAACUGGGUGUCUGUGUGCCCAAAACACCAUACCUCAUGUUUAUAAUAUGGACUUUUUCCCAGAGUUUGGAGUAGGCGAAUCAGACACAGAGGCAACCCUUCAGGUGUCAGUGAGCUUAGUAGGAUUUGAGUGUGCAUAUCACAUAAACAGCAUCAGAGAUCAACAUCAGCCCUCAGCAUCUUAGAUGCACCCUACUAUAACAGAACAUGUGAAGAGGUAUUUCCACCUUUGACCAGUCUGGAAUUUCUAAUGCUUUGAACCUCUUACAGGAAUAGAAAUUUGAACCACAAAUCUGUUUUGAAGUGUUUUAGGGCCUUCUUGCUUGCUUGCCAUUACAAGGUAGGCCUAAGUGAUCUCAAUAUGUGUGAGACAAAUGACAUUUCUCUUCUCUUGAAAAACAUCAUCAGUUAAGUUACAGCAUUGAUUUUUCUUUUUGUGCUAGCACCAUUCUAUUAAAAAAAAAA